RNAcentral lists this ribosomal RNA (2147 nucleotides) under Clostridioides difficile. Its description in RNAcentral is "partial 23S ribosomal RNA". It matches the Rfam family "Bacterial large subunit ribosomal RNA", at positions 539 to 2703 of the family's 2925-position model. Lineage: Bacteria; Bacillati; Bacillota; Clostridia; Peptostreptococcales; Peptostreptococcaceae. The record is from RNAcentral.
UGAAAUAGAACCUGAAACCCUGCACUUACAAGCUGUGGAAGCACAUUUCUUGUGUGACCGCGUACUUUUUGUAGAACGGGCCAACGAGUUACGUUAAGUAGCAAGGUUAAGCACUUAAGGUGCGGAGCCGUAGCGAAAGCGAGUUUUAACUGAGCGUUCAGUUACUUGACGUAGACCCGAAACCGGGCGACCUACCCAUGAGCAGGAUGAAGCGAAAGUAAAAUUUCGUGGAGGUCCGAACCCACGAGCGUUGAAAAGCUCGGGGAUGACUUGUGGGUAGCGGUGAAAUUCCAAUCGAGCCCGGAGAUAGCUGGUUCUCCCCGAAAUAGCUUUAGGGCUAGCCUCAAGGUGAGAGAUACGGAGGUAGAGCACUGAAUGUCCUAGGGGGUAUUGCACCUACCGAAGACUAUCAAACUCCGAAUGCCGUCAUCUUAUACUUGGGAGUCAGACUGUGGGUGAUAAGAUUCAUAGUCGAAAGGGCAACAGCCCAGAUCGUCAGCUAAGGUCCCUAAAUGUAAGUUAAGUGGUAAAGGAUGUGGGAUUGCACAGACAACCAGGAUGUUGGCUUAGAAGCAGCCACUCAUUCAAAGAGUGCGUAAUAGCUCACUGGUCGAGUGAUCCUGCGCCGAAGAUUUCCGGGGCUAAAACUUACUACCGAAGCUACGGCAUCAGUAAUGAUGGGUAGGGGAGCUUCCCAUACGGGUUGAAGCAUGACCGUAAGGACAUGUGGACAGUAUGGGAGUGAGAAUGUUGGCAUGAGUAGCGAGAUGUGGGUGAGAAUCCCACAGGCCGUAAACCCAAGGUUUCCAGGGGAAGGUUCGUCCGCCCUGGGUUAGUCGGGACCUAAGCUGAGGCCGAAAGGCGUAGGUGAUGGACAACAGGUUGAUAUUCCUGUACUACCGAUAACCGUUUGAGAGAAGGGAUGACACAGUAGGAUAAGCUAAGCACACUGUUGGUUAUGUGUGCCCAAGCAUUGAGGCAGUCAAAGUAGGCAAAUCCGCUUUGAUAAUGCUGGGAUGUGAUGGGGAGCGAAAUUUAGUAGCGAAGUAGCUGAUUUCACACUGUCAAGAAAAGUCUCUAUCGAGGUUAAAGGUACCCGUACCGCAAACCGACACAGGUGGGUGAGGAGAGUAUCCUAAGGCCAGCGAGAGAACUGUUGUUAAGGAACUCGGCAAAAUGACCCCGUAACUUAGGGAUAAGGGGUGCCACCAUUAGGUGGCCGCAGAGAAUAGGCCCAAGCGACUGUUUACCAAAAACAUAGGUUUCUGCUAAGUCGCAAGACGAUGUAUAGGAGCUGACGCCUGCCCGGUGCUGGAAGGUUAAGGGGAUCUGUUAGAGUAAUCGAAGCAGUGAACUUAAGCCCCAGUAAACGGCGGCCGUAACUAUAACGGUCCUAAGGUAGCGAAAUUCCUUGUCGGGUAAGUUCCGACCCGCACGAAAGGCGUAACGAUUUGGGCACUGUCUCAACAACAGACUCGGUGAAAUUGUAAUUCCGGUGAAGAUGCCGGAUACCUGCGACAGGACGGAAAGACCCCAUGGAGCUUUACUGUAGCUUGACAUUGGGUCUUGGUACUACAUGUACAGGAUAGGUGGGAGGCUUUGAAACCAGGACGCCAGUUUUGGCGGAGCCAUCCUUGGGAUACCACCCUUGUAGUACUGGGACUCUAACCAUAGGCCAUGAAUCUGGUCUUGGGACACUGUCAGGUGGGCAGUUUGACUGGGGCGGUCGCCUCCCAAAAGGUAACGGAGGCGCUCAAAGGUUCUCUCAGUACGGUCGGAAAUCGUACGUAGAGUGUAAAGGCAAAAGAGAGCUUGAUUGCAAGACAUACAGGUCGAGCAAGGAUGAAAAUCGGACUUAGUGAUCCGGUGGUUCUGCGUGGAAGGGCCAUCGCUCAACGGAUAAAAGCUACCCUGGGGAUAACAGGCUUAUCUCCCCCAAGAGUCCACAUCGACGGGGAGGUUUGGCACCUCGAUGUCGGCUCAUCACAUCCUGGGGCUGUAGUAGGUCCCAAGGGUUGGGCUGUUCGCCCAUUAAAGUGGUACGCGAGCUGGGUUCAGAACGUCGUGAGACAGUUCGGUCCCUAUCCGUCGCAGGCGUAGGAAAUUUGAGAAGACCUGUCCUUAGUACGAGAGGACCGGGAUGGACG